UAGGAAGGCCUAGAUCUAGGAGAGAGU
Molecule: non-coding RNA, 27 nt
Filed under: Homo sapiens (human)
Lineage: Eukaryota; Metazoa; Chordata; Mammalia; Primates; Hominidae
Source: RNAcentral